RNAcentral lists this ribosomal RNA (497 nucleotides) under uncultured bacterium. RNAcentral's name for it is "partial 16S ribosomal RNA". It matches the Rfam family "Bacterial small subunit ribosomal RNA", at positions 28 to 507 of the family's 1533-position model. The record is from RNAcentral.
GAUGAACGCUGGCGGCGUGCCUAAUACAUGCAAGUCGAGCGAACAGACGAGGGGCUUGCUCCUCUGACGUUAGCGGCGGACGGGUGAGUAACACGUGGAUAACCUACCUAUAAGACUGGGAUAACUUCGGGAAACCGGAGCUAAUACCGGAUAAUAUAUUGAACCGCAUGGUUCAAUAGUGAAAGACGGUUUUGCUGUCACUUAUAGAUGGAUCCGCGCCGCAUUAGCUAGUUGGUAAGGUAACGGCUUACCAAGGCAACGAUGCGUAGCCGACCUGGGAGGGUGAUCGGCCACACUGGAACUGAGACACGGUCCAGACUCCUACGGGAGGCAGCAGUAGGGAAUCUUCCGCAAAGGGCGAAAGCCUGACGGAGCAACGCCGCGUGAGUGAUGAAGGUCUUCGGAUCGUAAAACUCUGUUAUUAGGGAAGAACAAAUGUGUAAGUAACUAUGCACGUCUUGACGGUACCUAAUCAGAAAGCCACGGCUAACUACGUG